Molecule: ribosomal RNA, 466 nt
Filed under: uncultured bacterium
Lineage: Bacteria
Description: partial 16S ribosomal RNA
Rfam family: Bacterial small subunit ribosomal RNA
Source: RNAcentral
CUACGGGAGGCACCAGUGGGGAAUAUUGGACAAUGGGGGAAACCCUGAUCCAGCAAUGCCGCGUGUGUGAAGAAGGCCUGCGGGUUGUAAAGCACUUUCGGUUGGGAGGACUGCUUCUAGCACUAAUAUUGUUGGAAGUUGACGUUACCUUCAGAAGAAGCACCGGCUAACUCCGUGCCAGCAGCCGCGGUGAAUACGGAGGGUGCAAGCGUUAAUCGGAAUUACUGGGCGUAAAGCGCGCGUAGGCGGCUAGCUCAGUCGGGUGUGAAAGCCCCGGGCUUAACCUGGGAACUGCAUCCGAUACUGUCUAGCUUGAGUACAGGAGAGGAGAGUGGAAUUCCACAUGUAGCGGUGAAAUGCGUAGAUAUGUGGAGGAACACCAAUGGCGAAGGCAGCUCUCUGGCCUGAUACUGACGCUGAGGUGCGAAAGCGUGGGGAGCAAACAGGAUUAGAUACCCGAGUAGUC